Molecule: ribosomal RNA, 497 nt
Filed under: uncultured bacterium
Lineage: Bacteria
Description: partial 16S ribosomal RNA
Rfam family: Bacterial small subunit ribosomal RNA
Source: RNAcentral
GAUGAACGCUGGCGGCGUGCCUAAUACAUGCAAGUCGAGCGAACAGACGAGGAGCUUGCUCCUCUGACGUUAGCGGCGGACGGGUGAGUAACACGUGGAUAACCUACCUAUAAGACUGGGAUAACUUCGGGAAACCGGAGCUAAUACCGGAUAAUAUAUUGAACCGCAUGGUUCAAUAGUGAAAGACGGUUUUGCUGUCACUUCUAGAUGGUUCCGCGCCGCAUUAGCUAGUUGGUAAGGUAACGGCUUAUCAAGGCAACGAUGCGUAGCCGACCUGAGAGGGUGAUCGGCCACACUGGAACUGAGACACGGUCCAGACUCCUACGGGAGGCAGCAGUAGGGAAUCUUCCGCAAUGGGCGAAAGCCUGACGGAGCAACGCCGCGUGAAUGAUGAAGGUCUUCGGAUCGUAAAACUCUGUUAUUAGGGAAGAACAAAUGUGUAAGUAACUAUGCACGUCUUGACGGUACCUAAUCAGAAAGCCACGGCUAACUACGUG